Molecule: ribosomal RNA, 293 nt
Filed under: Boophis madagascariensis (Madagascar bright-eyed frog)
Lineage: Eukaryota; Metazoa; Chordata; Amphibia; Anura; Mantellidae
Description: partial 16S ribosomal RNA
Rfam family: Bacterial large subunit ribosomal RNA
Source: RNAcentral
UCCUAUUAUUUACCCGGUGAUUGUUUGUUUGGUUUUAGGUUGGGGUGACCGCGGAGUAUAAGAUAUCCUCCAUGAAAAAAAGCUAACUGCCCUUAUUAGAGAAAGACACUUCCAAAAAAUAAUAAAUUAAUUUUAAAUGAUCCGACAUUCGAUCAACGAACCAAGUUACCCUGGGGAUAACAGCGCAAUCCGUCCCGAGAGCCCCUAUCGACAGGCGGGUUUACGACCUCGAUGUUGGAUCAGGGUAUCCCAGUGGUGCAGCAGCUACUAAAGGUUCGUUUGUUCAACGAUUA